Molecule: ribosomal RNA, 326 nt
Filed under: uncultured bacterium
Lineage: Bacteria
Description: bacterial SSU rRNA
Rfam family: Bacterial small subunit ribosomal RNA
Source: RNAcentral
ACUCCUACGGGAGGCAGCAGUGGGGGAAUAUUUGCACAAUGGGGCGCAAGCCUGAUGCAGCCAUGCCGCGUGUAUGAAGAAGGCCUUCGGGGUUGUAAAGUACUUUCAGCAGUGAGGAAGGUGGAGUCGUUAAUAGCGGCUCAUUUGACGUUAGCUGCAGAAGAAGCAUCCGGCUAACUCCGUGCCAGCAGCCGCGGUAAUACGGAGGGUGCGAGCGUUAAUCGGAAUUACUGGGCGUAAAGCGCAUGCAGGUGGCUUUGUUAAGUCAGAUGUGAAAGCCCGGGGCUCAACCUCGGAAUUGCAUUUGAAACUGGGCAGACUAGAGU